This 265-nucleotide signal recognition particle RNA is filed under the name Candidatus Segetimicrobium genomatis. Its description in RNAcentral is "Terrabacteria group bacterium ANGP1 signal recognition particle sRNA large type". It matches the Rfam family "Bacterial large signal recognition particle RNA". From Rfam's summary of the family: The signal recognition particle (SRP) is a universally conserved ribonucleoprotein involved in the co-translational targeting of proteins to membranes. Archaeal SRP consists of a 7S RNA and homologues of the eukaryotic SRP19 and SRP54 proteins. The record is from RNAcentral. Lineage: Bacteria; Bacillati; Candidatus Sysuimicrobiota; Candidatus Sysuimicrobiia; Candidatus Sysuimicrobiales; Candidatus Segetimicrobiaceae.
CCGUGCUAGGCGGGGAGCUAGCGGUUCCCUGUAACCCGCAACCCGCUACAGCGGGGCUGAACUCCCGUCCGAGGCCUCACCCUUGAGGGCCAGGCCCGCGCACGCGGCAAGGAGGGCCGGGUCCCGCGCAACGAGAUCUUACCAACCCCGCCAGGUCCGGAAGGAAGCAACGGUACGUAAGGCGUCUCGUGUGCCGCGGGGUCACCUGGUCGGAGCCGGCGACGCGGGGACCGCCUCGAGGGUGUUGUCGACGGCGGGUGCACGG